Small nuclear RNA from Arvicola amphibius (Eurasian water vole), 105 nucleotides. The record is from RefSeq and is a predicted model, not a curated record. NCBI's taxonomy places the organism in Eukaryota, Metazoa, Chordata, Mammalia, Rodentia, Cricetidae.
UUGCUUCAACAGCACAUAUCCUAAAAUUUGGAAUAAUACAAAUUGAGAUUAGCUUGGUUUCUGCACUAGGAUUUCACAUAAAUUUGUGAAGCAUUCCAUAUUUUA